AAUGGGGUUGGGGCCUCAUGGAAGGGGUGGAGUGGGGGCAUCGUGGGGGCAGAGGUGGGGUCGAGCACCCAGGGGAAAGAGGGAAAGUCGGCACCUAUGGUACAAGCAAUUACAUGUGGCAUUACUUUCAGCUCCUAGUAAUCCAAGUCCAUCCACUCAUACAUUCCCAGUGUUCAAAUCCUGCACUCCAUAGACACACGACUCCUAAGGCCUAUAGAACUUUGGCCCUACAGGCUUGGCCCUCAAUUCUGCAGUUAAUAUUCACCUGAUAUCAGGAUCUCACCAAGCCUGCUAAGUACUUAGGCAGUAUCCUUAGCCACUGUACCACAACAGCGCAUUGAAAUGCUACCCCAAUCAACAGCCUUAGUGCUAAAGACGUACAGACCCACAGCAGCCACACCCCAGGCCCCUCAUUGGAUGGACCGGCAGCACUCUCAUUAGGUACCGGGGCUAUUUAAAGACCGCAACAGGAAGAGGAUGGAAGCUAUCUGAGCAAUAGACCAUUGCCUGUUGGAUGCUGCCUAGAUCGCCUUGCCUGACCCUGCCUUGCUGCCUCGCCCAACCUCACCUCCCCAAUCAGCUGAUCUAGCCCCAUGGAUUGGAUCUUCCGGCUACAGACUCUUGUGAGAAUGCCAACCAUUGCCCCAGACUGCCUCUGAUACCGAUUGACCUCCUGCCAACCUGACCACCCAUGCACACUUGACUGCUGCUUGGACUGCCCCUAGUCCACCUUGGCAAACAGGCAUUACAUCUGAACAGCCCCAAUUGCAGGAUCAGGGCCACAUAUUGCAACAAAUGUUGCAAAUGUUUUUGUUUUGUUCCUAACUCUAUCCUCAUGCAAGUACCAUUAAGAACCACAAGCUGAGUUCCAUUGUUCUAAGCAUUUAUUAUAUCUAGGGACCAGAUCUUGCACUGCUGAAGUGAGUGGAAGUUUUGCAUUUACACCACUGGAAGCAGGAUUGGGCCAGUAUUAGUAACAGAUCCUUAGAGGUACUUACUACCUGCAGGAUUUAGGUGGGAAAGGAUGGUCCAAAGGUUAAGUACUUCCCUACCUCAGUAGGGUAUUGUGGAGGAUAACUACAUUAAACAGUGUGAGGUGUGUGGAUUCUACAGUAAGGGGGGCCAUUUAAAGUACCCAAGAUAGAUAGCCCAUUAAACUUUCUGCUCUGAUUCAGGCUAUCACACAUUUAUUGAAAGAUAACCCACAAUUCUCUUCCCUACCACCUUCCUUUGUUUAUGUGCAUGUCUAAGUUUGUCCGUUUUAGAUUGUAAGCUCUUGAGGACAGAGAUCCAGGCCCUGGUUCUCUGUGUUUCAUUGUGCUUCUGCUACUUCCCCAUCACUGAUGUUCUGCAAGAGAAGUGACUGGGGAACACUGUAAAAUGGAUCCAGGCAUCAGCUAAUUCACCUAUUGAGCCACCAGUUCAAAUGCUUAAAAUCAUAAGUGAAAAGGAGCUCAGUCAGUCUUAUUCUAAAGUGGAUAAAUGUCAGCCUCUGGAAAUGCAUGAUUCAGCAAAAUUAUUUUUGGAAGCUUACAUAAGGCUUGACCCGAUAUACCUGAUUCUACAUGCUGGUAAACCUUCACCUUCCUAAACUCAACAUCUACUCUUUUUAAAAAGUGACUGGGAGAGAAAAUUAGGCUCCUGUUUUCUAACAAUCGCUGUCUGUAAGUUUUCUCCUUGUCAAACUGUUUCUUAAGAUUUCUUUAUAACAAGCAAAUACCGUCUCUUAGCAUGAAAAUAACAUUAUUGGAAACAGAAUGGUUUCUCCUGAAAAAGUAAAUGUAGCAAAGGAAUUUCUCAGCAUGGGAAAAUAUGCAGACAACAGAUACGUACAGAAAUUCUGUCCAUUUAUUUCAAAAUUGGAGGUUUUAUAAAAUAAAUUUUGAAGCUAUUCACUCUUGCA
This is a long non-coding RNA of Chrysemys picta bellii (western painted turtle), 1903 nucleotides long. The record is from Ensembl. Lineage: Eukaryota; Metazoa; Chordata; Testudines; Emydidae.